Molecule: unclassified non-coding RNA, 2193 nt
Filed under: Orussus abietinus
Lineage: Eukaryota; Metazoa; Arthropoda; Insecta; Hymenoptera; Orussidae
Description: mPN domain-containing protein, transcript variant X5
Source: RNAcentral
CCCUACGCUGCUUGUGCGCCAUAUUUGAUACGAUUCUCUUGGUUUUCUACGUUUUCUACGUUAAACUACUUGAUUGACGUAAUAUACGUCAAAAACCUCGAAAGUCGUGAAACUACCCUACCCUGGUCGAGUUCUCUUGAGAAAGAACAAUAAACUAGACCGGUGACAACAAUGUAAAGUUAACAGCCUUCUACUUUAUCAUACGUCAAUGUUUUGUGCCUGUAUGACGUUUUUGGAUUGUACCGCGAAGAUAUAACAAUUUAAAAUGAUGGAUAUUGUUGGGGAAUCUGGGUCGGAGGAGGGUCAGGAGAGAUCGAGUUGUUUGAAUUCAGCGACAGUGGUUCGAGUACCGGUGAAACAUGCAAAUCUGGGCAUUCGAAGUCAUGCCAUGGAUAUGAGCACGAUGGUAGAACUAACGUCAUUUAGCACACUUGGGAAGAUACAACCAUUCCUGGUAACGAUUUCCACAACCGCUGCUCUUGUAGUCGAUUUACAUUGUCACCUCUCCGAUAAAGAAGUAUGCGGUUACUUAGGUGGGCACUGGGAUAUUAAUGCACAUAAUCUUGCAAUCACAAAUGCAUUUCCCUGUAGGUAUGCAGGAAAGGAUAAACAAGCUGCGUCUUUGGUAGAGUUAGAAAUUGCAAGAGCUAUGGAAUGGAAGCGAACGACACUGGUGGGCUGGUAUCACUCUCAUCCCCGUUCACACGCUUCACCCUCUUUACGGGAUGUAGAUUCGCAAUUGGAUUAUCAGAUAAAAAUGAAAGGAAUCAGCGAUAAUGGUUAUACUCCAUGCGUUGGACUGAUUUGCUCACCUUAUAACACCGAUGGGAAUUGCUACGAAUCAAACUUCAAUGUCUUUUGGUCGAUGCCACCUCCUGAAAACAGGCCCCAUGAAUAUCCCAGACCAAUGCUUCUCAGUUAUUCCUUGUCGCAAGAACACUUUCUCCCUCAAGAUGCUCUCGAGGAAAUUAAAAAGUGCAUAGACUAUUACAAAUCCGAAGGUGGUAUCGACUUUAUGGCUACGUUUAAUGGAAACACAACAUAUCUCGAGCGUUUAAGGAGCUCUUUAGCAUCCAAGCUUCCUGGACGUAACCAAUCAAACGGCUCGUACUGGGAUGUAAUCAGAGAGAUGAUUUGCCCUGGAGCCGAAGACCCUCCACCCGAUCCAUUCAUCUCCAGUGCUACUACAUCGAUGAAGUAUUCCUUGAUGACCGAUUCCCUAAACCAGCCCAGCAGUUUAAGCGCAAACAGUCUCUUCCUGGCACCGGCCAAGUUCAAGACAGACAAUUCGAGCAAUCCCUCGACUUCCCGGGAUAAGGACGAUGGUGUAGCUGAAGUUACUCCGAUCUACGCGAUGGCAGCGAAGGACUCGAGUUUAGGAUCGAAGCACAGACUUCAAGCCGAUCCAGUUCCCAGCUUCCAGUCGGGCGAGCUGACGGUGUCCGUAAAAAAUACGAAGUGUGAGUACGAGUUCCCGUCCAGUGGCGAUUUCUCGAAGAUAUCGAGCCUCUUGGGCGACUCGUCGAGCAAAUUCAGGCCCGCGACCGGCGACUUCCCGCUGGCCGACAUAUCGCAGGUCACCAAGUUCUCCGAGCUCAGCAAACUCGCGAACUUCUCGACCGCGGACCUGGCGAAGCUCUCCGGCUUCGCCCUGAACGACUUCACGAAGAUGUCCCCGUACGUAUGCAACAUUGCUAACUUAUUCGGUCCACCGGGCAAGGUGUCGAAGGAGGUCGACCCCGGUGAGAGGAAAGUCGACGACUUCGCGACGGCCGUGGCCGUUCGCCAGUCCUUCAAGGCUCCUAUGUCUGCAGAAGCCGGCAUGGACGACUUCUCGAUGGAUCAUAAAAAGCCCCUCGACUUGGGCGAAGGUCCCAAGAGACCGACGGAUUACUCCUCCGAGGACUUGACCGUCUCCGGCGUCAAGUCCGACUUCGGAGCGAUGCUCGACAUGACGACCUUGCACGCGAAGAAGCAACAGCAAGGCGAGUGUGACUCCUUGAACCUUUCGAAAGACCGACAAUAAUUUCUGCCACUCUGUAGUCUAAGUGUCGGGCUGUGUUAAGCCUUGGAGAGGAGCGUCCUCUUGGCGGAAAAUGGGCACCCACUGACAUCCACUAUCGGUUCUCGUUACUUUUGCGUUUCACUUCUGCAAGCGGACUCCAAGCCUACGGCAUGACGAACUUGGAUCUC